Molecule: long non-coding RNA, 608 nt
Organism: Centruroides sculpturatus (bark scorpion)
Lineage: Eukaryota; Metazoa; Arthropoda; Arachnida; Scorpiones; Buthidae
Exons: 4
Source: RefSeq, a predicted model, not a curated record
UUAAAAAUGAAAGUAAACUUUAUAUAAAAGUCGUAAUAAAAAGAUGAAGCUCAGUUUGUUAUAAGAAUAUAUCAGAAAGAUGGAACCAUUACAGAAAAGAAAAAAGAAAAAUUAAAAGUAUGAAUUUAUAUGUAAGAAUGGUGGGAUGGUGAUGAAGAUGAUGACGACUUUGAUAGCGAAGAUGUUAAUGAUUUUAAUGUUGAUGAUAAUAAUAAUGAUGGUGAUAAACAAAGGACUAAGCGAACCACGUAACCAUGGAAUUGGUACGUUUUUCUGUGAGACGUUCAGAAAAAUCAUGACGUUCGAAAGAUUUGAAAAAAAUCUUUUUGUUUUUGUUAUGGAAUCUGAAAAUUGUUCGUUGCUCGAUCAAAUCUGAAAGUUUUUUAUAAGAUUUGAAUAGAACCUUCUUUCCCAACUAAUUUGAGAUGCAUUUCGAAACGGAACCGAACUUAGUUUGUGUUAUGUAAUCCUUACUUGGAAUUAGAUAGAUGAAGUUAUUCAUCAUAUACGUUGAAAGAAGAGUACAGCAACGAAAUGACCUUAAUAUAGUUAAUUGAUUCGAUUAGGGGUGGAAAAUGUAUACACAAGUUAUUUAUUACACGUUUAUG